CAGAUAAUAAAUGCAUUAAUUUUAUUUUUCAGUUAUAGUAACAUGUUUAACAACUAAAGUUGUAUGCACAAUUUUAGCAAUAUAUGUGACAUGUUCCAUUUACUGAAACUUGACCCAGAAACCGUUUAUACAUGUAUAUACAAUAACUGUUUAGUGUCUUUAAAUCUACAAACACAGCUGAUAUUUGUACACACUAAACAUGCUAAACAGAUAUUGUCUUAAUUUAUCAGUCAACAGUUCAUUUGUACAUAUAAAAAAGAAGAUGUGGUAUGAUUGCCAAUGAGACAACUGUUCACAAGAGACCAAAAUGACACAGACAUUAACAACUAUAGGUCACCGUAUGGCCUUCAACAAUGAGCAAAGCCCAUACUGCAUAGUCAGCUAUAAAAGGCCCCGAUAAGACAAUGUAAAACAAUCCAAACGAGAAAAUUAACAGCCUUAUCUAUAUAAAAAAAUUAACAUAAAAACAAAAAUGUAACACAUAAACAAACGACAACCACUGAAUUACAGGCUCCUGACUUAGGACAGGCACAUACAUAAAUAAUGUGGAGGGGUUAAACAUUAGCAGGAUCCCAACCCUCCCCUAACCUGGGACAGUGGUAUAACAGUACAACAUCAGAACGAACUAUAAAAAUCAGUUGAAAAAGGUUUAACUCAUCAGAUGGACAAAAAUACAAGUGGACGUGGCCGCGUACUUAUACAUCAUAACACAAAAAGACACAAUGAACAGAUCUGAGAGUACUUGCAGUUAUCUGACAGCUAGUUCAAAGCCACAAACAACUAAUAAAAAAAUCAUGCCAGGGGCGUAGCUACCCGGAGACACGACAGCACGUGCAUCCACAUCGUUUUCUUAACAAACAAAAAAAAACAAAAAAAAAACAAAAACAAAAAAAGCAG
This 897-nucleotide long non-coding RNA is filed under the name Mytilus galloprovincialis (Mediterranean mussel). The record is from RNAcentral. Lineage: Eukaryota; Metazoa; Mollusca; Bivalvia; Mytilida; Mytilidae.